UCUGUCUCUCCCUCAGGUGAAGUUGACAGACUAAAUCCUUGGGCUGCUGACUUCAGAAAUCCAAAAAGAACUGGAGCGAGUCCAGAUUGAAAUCUUACACUUUCUCCCUGUAGAAAAUGCAUGGCCUCCUUUCUCUGCAAGACUUAAAGGAGUGGAGGAAGUGGAAAGGAUUCUUCCCUUCCUUACAGCUAUUUUUUUAAAGAAUAUUCAUUCUUCAGAGCCUGGGCAUUUUGCCUGAAUGGUGAGCUGAUUCCCUAAAGUGAGUGGAAAUGUCUGAGAAUAAAUGAUUCCAGGGGGAGUGUAAAGCUAAAUGAAUCAUUCCAGAUUCUGCAGGUCAAUCAGACAAUUGGAGAUGAAAACAUCAAGAAGAAAUCAAAGUACAGAUGAAACAAGCCCAAAACACAUUGGUCACUUUGUGCCUGUGGUAUCUUUCCGGCUGGUCUAGUUCUAGACAUGCCCAUUGUCUACUCAGACAGUUUUCCUUCCUUAAUUACACUCUGUGUCCUAGAAACAGAGGAGAUAGAGGUCUCAGCAUUGCUACAGUGUCCAAAUACUCAAAAUACCAAGAUUUUUAUUUCUUUCUCAGUGACUAAAACAUACCCUUUUAGAAUCCACAGCUGGCCAUUUCUCAAGCUUCUAAGGCA
Molecule: long non-coding RNA, 644 nt
Filed under: Marmota monax (woodchuck)
Lineage: Eukaryota; Metazoa; Chordata; Mammalia; Rodentia; Sciuridae
Source: RNAcentral